UCACAGUUUAAUCUAUGUUAUAAAAUGCAUAAAAAGUUGUCUGGUACAUUAACCGGUUACUCACUGAAGCUAAGCAUGGCUGAGCCUGGUCAGUACCUGGAUGGGAGACUACAUGGGAAAACUAGGUUGCUGUUGGAA
RNAcentral lists this ribosomal RNA (138 nucleotides) under Danio rerio (zebrafish). Lineage: Eukaryota; Metazoa; Chordata; Actinopteri; Cypriniformes; Danionidae. The record is from RNAcentral.